RNAcentral lists this transfer RNA (71 nucleotides) under Ipomoea nil (Japanese morning glory). It matches the Rfam family "tRNA". Rfam says of the family: Transfer RNA (tRNA) molecules are approximately 80 nucleotides in length. Their secondary structure includes four short double-helical elements and three loops (D, anti-codon, and T loops). Further hydrogen bonds mediate the characteristic L-shaped molecular structure. tRNAs have two regions of fundamental functional importance: the anti-codon, which is responsible for specific mRNA codon recognition, and the 3' end, to which the tRNAs corresponding amino acid is attached (by aminoacyl-tRNA synthetases). tRNAs cope with the degeneracy of the genetic code in two manners: having more than one tRNA (with a specific anti-codon) for a particular amino acid; and 'wobble' base-pairing, i.e. permitting non-standard base-pairing at the 3rd anti-codon position. Lineage: Eukaryota; Viridiplantae; Streptophyta; Magnoliopsida; Solanales; Convolvulaceae. The record is from Rfam by way of RNAcentral.
GUCGUUGUAGUAUAGUGGUGAGUAUCCCCGCCUGUCACGGGGAGACCCGGGUUCGAUCCCCGGCAACGGCG